CAUUAACGAAGCUAGCGCUCGCGCGCAACGCU
Molecule: ribosomal RNA, 32 nt
Filed under: Chamaedrilus sphagnetorum
Lineage: Eukaryota; Metazoa; Annelida; Clitellata; Enchytraeida; Enchytraeidae
Description: partial 18S ribosomal RNA
Source: RNAcentral